GCUUAACACAUGCAAGUCGAACGGUGAAGCCCAGCUUGCUGGGUGGAUCAGUGGCGAACGGGUGAGUAACACGUGAGCAAUCUGCCCCUGACUCUGGGAUAAGCGCUGGAAACGGCGUCUAAUACUGGAUACGAACCGUGGAGGCAUCUUCAACGGUUGGAAAGAUUUUUUGGUCAGGGAUGAGCUCGCGGCCUAUCAGCUUGUUGGUGAGGUAAUGGCUCACCAAGGCAUCGACGGGUAGCCGGCCUGAGAGGGUGACCGGCCACACUGGGACUGAGACACGGCCCAGACUCCUACGGGAGGCAGCAGUGGGGAAUAUUGCACAAUGGGCGCAAGCCUGAUGCAGCAACGCCGCGUGAGGGAUGACGGCCUUCGGGUUGUAAACCUCUUUUAGCAGGGAAGAAGCGAAAGUGACGGUACCUGCAGAAAAAGCGCCGGCUAACUACGUGCCAGCAGCCGCGGUAAUACGUAGGGCGCAAGCGUUAUCCGGAAUUAUUGGGCGUAAAGAGCUCGUAGGCGGUUUGUCGCGUCUGCUGUGAAAUCCCGAGGCUCAACUUCGGGUCUGCAGUGGGUACGGGCAGACUAGAGUGCGGUAGGGGAGAUUGGAAUUCCUGGUGUAGCGGUGGAAUGCGCAGAUAUCAGGAGGAACACCGAUGGCGAAGGCAGAUCUCUGGGCCGUAACUGACGCUGAGGAGCGAAAGGGUGGGGAGCAAACAGGCUUAGAUACCCUGGUAGUCCACCCCGUAAACGUUGGGAACUAGUUGUGGGGUCCAUUCC
RNAcentral lists this ribosomal RNA (777 nucleotides) under Microbacterium sp. Its description in RNAcentral is "bacterial SSU rRNA". It matches the Rfam family "Bacterial small subunit ribosomal RNA", at positions 46 to 835 of the family's 1533-position model. The record is from RNAcentral. Lineage: Bacteria; Bacillati; Actinomycetota; Actinomycetes; Micrococcales; Microbacteriaceae.